CAAGGUUUCCGUAGGUGAACCUGCGGAAGGAUCAUUGUCGAAAUCGAACGGAAGAACGACCCGCGAAUCGUCGUAGCGUACCAGAUAGAGCCCGUGAGCGCCCGACGCUCGCGCGGCUCGCGUCGCGUCGGCGCGGGUGUGCUCGAGACCCGCGUCGCACCGGCGAACAAACAACGUCAGCACGGAUCGUGCCAAGGAGCUGCAUGGAGAGAAUCGUCGCCCCACGCCUUCGGUCGUCCUCGACGGGGGGCGGGGGACGUACGCGAUCUCUGAUCGAGUCAAAACGACUCUCGGCAACGGAUAUCUCGGCUCUUGCAUCGAUGAAGAACGUAGCGAAAUGCGAUACUUGGUGUGAAUUGCAGAAUCCCGCGAACCAUCAAUUCUUUGAACGCAAGUUGCGCCCGAAGCCAUUCGGCCGAGGGCACGCCUGCCUGGGCGUCGUGAAUCCCCUUGCCCCCUGGGCACCCCCGCACGAGCGUCGGCGGGAGUAUAUGCUCGGGCGCAGAAUGUGGCCUCCCGUGGGAUCGGCACGCACGGCGUGCCGAGGAGCGGUUGGCCGAAAAUCGAGCAUGGCGGUGACGGGCACCACGGCGUUCGGUGGAUCGAACGAGAUUGGCUGCGUCGUGGGCUCGGCAUGCUGCGGGCUCCGGACUUUGACAAAUCCCCGAGUGCGAUCCCAGGUCAGGCGGGGCUACCCGCUGAGUUUAAGCAUAUCAAUAAGCGGAGGAAAAGAAACUAACGAGGAUUCCCUUAGUAGCGGCGAGCGAACCGGGAAGAGCCCAGCGUGAAAAUCGUCC
This 797-nucleotide ribosomal RNA is filed under the name Adelobotrys spruceana. Its description in RNAcentral is "eukaryotic LSU rRNA". The stretch from base 286 to 441 matches the Rfam family "5.8S ribosomal RNA". Lineage: Eukaryota; Viridiplantae; Streptophyta; Magnoliopsida; Myrtales; Melastomataceae. The record is from RNAcentral.